RNAcentral lists this long non-coding RNA (424 nucleotides) under Heterocephalus glaber (naked mole-rat). Its description in RNAcentral is "lncRNA (ENSHGLG00000038995.1)". Lineage: Eukaryota; Metazoa; Chordata; Mammalia; Rodentia; Bathyergidae. The record is from RNAcentral.
CAAGCUUUUACAGAUGGACAUAACAGGAUGUAGAUCCCACAAGACUGAAAAAGAUUCUGGAAGAUGCACCUAGAAAUCUGAGACCUCUCUCAUGUCUUCCUGCACACCUUUUCCUGCUGUGUCAUAUCCUCCGCCCUUAUUAAAGCUUUAUGCGCUGACCACAGCAAUGGAACCAACUGGGAUUGAACUCGGGACCUUGCGCUUGCGAGGCAGGCAGUGGACCCACUGAGCUAAAUCCCCAGCCCAAGACUUCACUUAUUAAACUCAGCAAAAAGACCCUUCAAAAGAAAGGAAAAUAUUGUGAUCCAUGCACAACAGCCUACAAUCCCAAGGCACUUUCUACUACUGAAAACAACUCUUGGAUGGAAGAAUAAACUACAGAGGUCUACUUCUGGGCAGGAAGUACUUUAACAUGAAAAUUCAC